AUUGAACGCUGGCGGCAGGCCUAACACAUGCAAGUCGAACGGUAACAGGAAACAGCUUGCUGUUUCGCUGACGAGUGGCGGACGGGUGAGUAAUGUCUGGGAAACUGCCUGAUGGAGGGGGAUAACUACUGGAAACGGUAGCUAAUACCGCAUAACGUCGCAAGACCAAAGAGGGGGACCUUCGGGCCUCUUGCCAUCGGAUGUGCCCAGAUGGGAUUAGCUAGUAGGUGGGGUAACGGCGCACCUAGGCGACGAUCCCUAGCUGGUCUGAGAGGAUGACCAGCCACACUGGAACUGAGACACGGGCCAGACUCCUACGGGAGGCAGCAGUGGGGAAUAUUGCACAAUGGGCGCAAGCCUGUUGCAGCCAUGCCGCGUGUAUGAAGAAGGCCUUCGGGUUGUAAAGUACUUUCAGCGGGGAGGAAGGGAGUAAAGUCAAUACCUUUGCUCAUUGACGUUACCCGCAGAAGAAGCACCGGCUAACUCCGUGCCAGCCGCCGCGGUAA
This 506-nucleotide ribosomal RNA is filed under the name uncultured bacterium. RNAcentral's name for it is "partial 16S ribosomal RNA". It matches the Rfam family "Bacterial small subunit ribosomal RNA", at positions 30 to 523 of the family's 1533-position model. The record is from RNAcentral.